AUGGCGACUAACAUCAAAGCCAGAAUUUCCACCUCCAAUUUCCUGGGAGACUGGUGAACCUGAGGGAGAACGAAGGCUAGACGGAGGAGUUCCAGCUCCCUAAGCCGAAUUGUCAGCAGCAGAUCCUCCCUGGUUGAGCGUGGAUCGCCGAGAUCCAUGCGGAUCCCUGUCCCCAGAUCAACGCCGUCGGCUUCCGCUGUAGCCGUCAACCGUACGGGAGUGGAUGCAACACUCGGCAAGCCGCCUAACUCAGGAAACUGCAACUGUUCAAGCCCACCAAAACCACUAGGUGACAACACACCCUUAAAGCUAAGGGAAAGCUAAAGAACUGCUCAGGCUCCACAAGUAAGUGGGUCAUGGAAGGUUGUUGUAACAGUAUGCACAAAUAAGGUAUACUGAUCCUGUAAUAUCCUAAAAGAAGAAGUCUGCCUGCCCAAGAAGACCAUACCUUACCAUAGAGGUCUGCCUGCUCAAGAAGACCAUCCUUUACCAUAGAGGUCUGCCUGCCCAAGAAGACCAUCCCUUACCAUAGAGGUCUGCCUGCUGAAAAAGACCAUCCCUUACCACAGAGGUCUGCCUGCCAAAGAAGACCACCCCUUACCAUAGGGGUCUGCCUGCUGAAAAAGACCAUCGCUUACCAUAGAGGCCUGUCUGCCCAAGAAGACCAUCCCUUACCAUGGCAGACUAGCUCAACUAUAUUUAACAGUAGGUCUGACAUUCAAACUUUGUUUCUUCCCACCUCCCCAGAACUCCCCUCUUGGGCCCCUGCUCUUCAUCUCCCCUCCCACAUGCUCCCUUACAGCACACUCCCUGACACGGGUCCAGAUCUCCGCUUCGCCCCUUCUUUUCUGCCACCCGCUGCACAUCAGGGUUUGCAAAAUUUCUAAAUCCCCUGUAGACCUUGUCAGACAUGCAGUCAUUCUUCACAUUUUAGUAGCCUGAAAUGAAAUAUGCACCCCCCCCCCCCAAAAAAAAAAAAAGUUACAAAUUUGACAUUGGCACAUAUUUUGUAGUUCGUCAACAUCAUGGAUAUCGACAGAAAAGCAAAAGGACAGUUCCUGCACCCAGACAUCCCAAGAUAAAAUAAAUCGAUGAACGAUUUGCCUUUAAGACACUUAUGUCCGAUCAGUCCAGAUUUGUUGUAAUAACAACAACAGACACAACACUGUAAUGUUAACAUUAUAGCAGAGAGCAAUGUAACUGUUUAGUGUUACCAUUACAUAAUGAAAAUAAUAUGAAUAUAAACAAUAUAUGAUAAAUGAAGUGAA
Long non-coding RNA from Brienomyrus brachyistius, 1268 nucleotides. RefSeq lists it as uncharacterized. The transcript is spliced from 4 exons. The record is from RefSeq and is a predicted model, not a curated record. NCBI's taxonomy places the organism in Eukaryota, Metazoa, Chordata, Actinopteri, Osteoglossiformes, Mormyridae.